Molecule: long non-coding RNA, 2167 nt
Organism: Loxodonta africana (African savanna elephant)
Lineage: Eukaryota; Metazoa; Chordata; Mammalia; Proboscidea; Elephantidae
Exons: 4
Source: RefSeq, a predicted model, not a curated record
CACUGGGUUACCCCUUCAGAUAGAGGCUGUUCAGCUCAGGACUGCAUUUCCCAGUGGCCACCGCGCCCGAACUGACCUCGAGUUCCCAUCCGUUUCCGGUCUCCGCUGGUCGAUGACGCAGUGGGGGGAGGUCCUUGCGUCCUAAAAGGGAGUCGGCGCUGGGGCUGCGGGAGACUUCAGAUUGGGAGCCGGGCCGGAGAGACCCGUAGUGCGGUGGGCGGGAGGCCGGCGCUCAGAGUGGGGAGCCCGGGGCGCGGACCGGGCAUGCAAAAGAUGGACAGUGAAUAAGGAAGACCGAAGAAUUGAUGCCUUUGAAUUACGGUGUUGGCGAAGAAUACUGAAUAUACCAUGGACUGCCAGAAAAACAAACAAAUCUGUCUUGGAAGAAGUACAACCAGAAUGCUCCUUAGAAGUAAGGAUGGUGAGACUUGGUUCCUGUACUUUGGACUUCUUAUCAGGAGGGACCAGUCCCUGGAGAAGGACAUCAUACUUGGUAGAAGGUCAGCGAAACAAAGGAACACCCUCAACGAGAUGGACUGAUAGAGUGGCUGCAACAGUGGGCUACAGCAUAACAGGGAUUAUGAGGAUGGUGCAGGACUGGGCAGAGUUUCUUUCUGUUCUACAUAGGGUCGCUAUGAGUCGGAAUCGGCUUGACAGCAACAGGGUUUCUCACCAGUAUGAAUUGUGUGAUGUCGAGCAAGUUCUGCUUGAAGACGAAAAGUAGUCCCGCAUUCUUUACAUCCAUAUGGUUUCUCACCAGUAUGAAGUCUAAAAUGUUGAGUAAGAUGAUACCGACGACUAAAGGUCUUUCCACAUUCUGUACAUUCAUAUGGAAUCUCACCAGUGUGAAUCCUCUGAUGUAAGGUAUUUAAGGUCGACAAAAUGUCUAACAUCUUCCGAAAUCCUGUUGAGUGUAUUUCCAUCCACCAUUAGGGAUCCGGGGGUUAUCGGACCUGCUACCACCACUAUCCUUCAUGAACACUUGCCUUGUUCCUGAAGCAGACAUGCUGAUGUAGAAUGAUCCACAAUGACACUGAUGUCACUGGAGACCAACACAACCUCCUCAACCACAAAACUCAACUUUUUCCUGUUGUUCAUCCCUCAGGGACCAUUAUGGAUUGAAUUGUGUCCCCUGAAUAUGCGUGUUGUAAAUCCUAACCUCUAUGCCUGUGGUUAUAAUCCUGUUUGGGAAUGGGUUGUCUCUGUUAUGUUAAUGAGGCUGGAUUAGUGUAGGGUGUAUUUUGAGUCGAUGUCUUUUUGAGAUAUAAAAGAGAUUAAACAAGCAAGCUAGGAAGCAGAGAUGGGGGAAGAGAGAUGCCAAGACACAUGGAGAUCACCCAGGAGCAGGGGCUCAAAGAGAAAAGAACCUUCCUCCAGAGCCGACAGAGAGAGAAAGCCUUCCCCUACAGCUGGAACCCUGAGUUUGCACUUCUAGCCUCCUAAACCGUGAGAAAAUAAAUUUCUCAUCUAGUGCUGCUAUGGAAACACUGGUGGCAUAGUGGUUAAGUGCUAUAGCUGUUAACCAAAAGGUCAGCAGUUUGAAUCCACCAGGUACUUCUUGGAAACUCUAUGGGGCAGUUCUACUCUGUCCUAUAGGGUUGCUGUGAGUCGGACUCGACGGCAACGGGUUUGGUUUGAGUUUAGUGCUGUUAUAACAGAAAUAAGUGGUAUUUCUGUUAUAGCAGCACUAGAUAACUAAGAUAGGGACCCCGUGGCUAGACCCUGAAGUCCCCAUACACAGGCUCCAAUCACACUCCAAUGCAGUCCUAUAAGCCUCUGAAGGCAUGAUAUCUCACCAUGGGCAGAACGUUCAACACUAUAUUCUAUCUCAUCAGCAAGCAGAAUUCAGGUCUCUGGAGGUGAAAACUUCACUACAAGUUCUAAUGGAAACAUCAUCUCUAUGCAGUGGGAUCAUGAGGCUGACAAAAAAACAAAAAACAAGUGUGUUGCCGUUGAGUCAAUUCCAACUCAUAGCAACCCUAGAGGACAGGGUAGAACUGCACUGUAGGGUUUCCAAGGAGUGGCUGGUGGAGUCCAACUGCCGACCUUUUGGUUAGUAGCCAAGCUCUUAACCGCUGGGCCACCAGGGCUACAUGACUCUGACAAGGGAAGCUAAAAUACCUCCCCCAGCAGAUUUCACCUUCCACGGCUCUGUCGAUGCUCCUGA